ACUGCUAUCGGAUUGAUACUAAGCCAUGCGGGUCUUUGUAGUAAUACAAGGCAGACGGCUCAGUAACACGUAGUCAAUCUACCCUAUGGACGAGGAUAACCUCGGGAAACUGAGAAUAAUACUCGAUAGAUCAUUAUACCUGGAAUGGUUUAUGGUCGAAAUGAUUUAUCGCCGUAGGAUGGGACUGCGGCCUAUCAGUUUGUUGGUGAGGUAAUGGCCCACCAAGACUAUUACAGGUACGGGCUCUGAGAGGAGAGGCCCGGAGAUGGGUACUGAGACACGGACCCAGGUCCUAUGGGGCGCAGCAGGCGAGAAAACUUUGCAAUGUGCGAAAGCACGACAAGGUUAAUCCGAGUGUUUCCUGCUAAAGGAAUCUUUUGUCAGUCCUAAAAACACUGAUGAAUAAGGGGUGGGCAAGUUCUGGUGUCAGCCGCCGCGGUAAAACCAGCACCUCAAGUGGUCAGGAGGAUUAUUGGGCCUAAAGCAUCCGUAGCCGGCUGCGUAAGUUUUCGGUUAAAUCCAUGCGCUCAACGUAUGGGCUGCCGGGAAUACUGUACAGCUAGGGAGUGGGAGAGGUAGACGGUACUCGGUAGGAAGGGGUAAAAUCCUUUGAUCUAUUGAUGACCACCUGUGGCGAAGGCGGUCUACCAGAACACGUCCGACGGUGAGGGAUGAAAGCUGGGGGAGCAAACCGGAUUAGAUACCCGGGUAGUCCCAGCUGUAAACUAUGCAAACUCAGUGAUGCACUGGCUUGUGGCCAGUGCAGUGCCGCAGGGAAGCCGUUAAGUUUGCCGCCUGGGAAGUACGUACGCAAGUAUGAAACUUAAAGGAAUUGGCGGGGGAGCACCACAAGGGGUGAAG
RNAcentral lists this ribosomal RNA (861 nucleotides) under uncultured archaeon. Its description in RNAcentral is "bacterial SSU rRNA". It matches the Rfam family "Archaeal small subunit ribosomal RNA", at positions 26 to 893 of the family's 1478-position model. The record is from RNAcentral.